RNAcentral lists this transfer RNA (58 nucleotides) under Salmo salar (Atlantic salmon). It matches the Rfam family "tRNA", at positions 8 to 63 of the family's 71-position model. From Rfam's summary of the family: Transfer RNA (tRNA) molecules are approximately 80 nucleotides in length. Their secondary structure includes four short double-helical elements and three loops (D, anti-codon, and T loops). Further hydrogen bonds mediate the characteristic L-shaped molecular structure. tRNAs have two regions of fundamental functional importance: the anti-codon, which is responsible for specific mRNA codon recognition, and the 3' end, to which the tRNAs corresponding amino acid is attached (by aminoacyl-tRNA synthetases). tRNAs cope with the degeneracy of the genetic code in two manners: having more than one tRNA (with a specific anti-codon) for a particular amino acid; and 'wobble' base-pairing, i.e. permitting non-standard base-pairing at the 3rd anti-codon position. Lineage: Eukaryota; Metazoa; Chordata; Actinopteri; Salmoniformes; Salmonidae. The record is from Rfam by way of RNAcentral.
UGGCUCAACUGGUAGAGCAUGACACUUACAUUGUCAGGGUUGUGGGUUCAAUUCCCAC